This 27-nucleotide transfer RNA is filed under the name Dicarpellum baillonianum. Its description in RNAcentral is "partial tRNA-Leu". The record is from RNAcentral. RNAcentral also lists the same sequence under 2 other names. Lineage: Eukaryota; Viridiplantae; Streptophyta; Magnoliopsida; Celastrales; Celastraceae.
AAAUCCGUCGACUUUAGAAAUCAUGAG